RNAcentral lists this ribosomal RNA (372 nucleotides) under uncultured bacterium. RNAcentral's name for it is "bacterial SSU rRNA". It matches the Rfam family "Bacterial small subunit ribosomal RNA", at positions 527 to 896 of the family's 1533-position model. The record is from RNAcentral.
GUAGGAGGCGAGCGUUAUCCGGAAUCACUGGGCGUAAAGGGCGUGUAGGCGGUCCCUUAAGUUGGCAGUGAAAUCUCCCGGCUCAACUGGGAGGGGUCUGCCAAUACUGAGGGACUAGAGGGCAGUAGAGGAAGGUGGAAUUCCCGGUGUAGCGGUGAUAUGCGUAGAUAUCGGGAAGGAACACCAGUGGCGAAGGCGGCCUUCUGGGCUGUACCUGACGCUGAGGCGCGAAAGCGUGGGCAGCGAAGCGGAUUAGAUACCCGCGUAGUCCACGCCCUAAACGGUGGACACUAGGUAUGGGGGGUAUCGACCCCCUCCGUGCCGAAGCUAACGCUCUAAGUGUCCCGCCUGGGGACUACGGCCGCAAGGCUA